This 248-nucleotide ribosomal RNA is filed under the name uncultured bacterium. Its description in RNAcentral is "partial 16S ribosomal RNA". It matches the Rfam family "Bacterial small subunit ribosomal RNA", at positions 524 to 776 of the family's 1533-position model. The record is from RNAcentral.
UACGGGAGGUGCUAGUGUUAUUCCCCAUGACUGGGCGUAUAGGGUAAGUAGGCGGUCAUUCAAGUCUCAAUAUAAAGACUCUUUAUAGUAAUAGUUUUUGAAACUGCCUGACUUGAGUACAUGGGGUGUUCGUGGAAGUUCGCAUCGAAGGUUUAAAUCUGUUUGUAGAUAAGGGGGAACGCCAAAGGUUAAUGCUAUGAACGGCCAUAUACUGACGCUGAGGUACGAAGGCAUGGGUAUCGACUGGG